Molecule: ribosomal RNA, 293 nt
Filed under: uncultured bacterium
Lineage: Bacteria
Description: partial 16S ribosomal RNA
Rfam family: Bacterial small subunit ribosomal RNA
Source: RNAcentral
GGAUUAGAUACCCUGGUAGUCCACGCCGUAAACGAUGUCUACUUGGAGGUUGUUCCCUUGAGGAGUGGCUUUCGGAGCUAACGCGUUAAGUAGACCGCCUGGGGAGUACGGUCGCAAGAUUAAAACUCAAAUGAAUUGACGGGGGCCCGCACAAGCGGUGGAGCAUGUGGUUUAAUUCGAUGCAACGCGAAGAACCUUACCAUCCCUUGACAUCCUGAGAAGUUAGCAGAGAUGCUUUCGUGCCUUCGGGAACUCAGUGACAGGUGCUGCAUGGCUGUCGUCAGCUCGUGUUG